GGACUUCUUCAGCGGCUGUCCUCCCUCGCUUUUGGAGCUCCGACCUCAGCUUCGCCUGCGAGCUGGGUUGUGUAAAGGCUGGUCAUUUUGGGGCGCUUAGGGGUGGGUGCCGGGGGGCGCGCUUUCCCUCGUGAAGGUCGCUCCAGGAGUCAUGCGUACAUUCGUUCAUUUUGCUCUGGACGCACUGAUGUUCCCGGCUCGCCGCCGUGCCGCAGUCACGAGGCUCUCCGAACGCCUUUCACUGUGUUUCUGUUUACAUUCGCGUCUGCAAGACCCGGCGGCGCGACCGAGGCCCGAACAGAUGGGGUCUUGCUGUGUUGCCCAGGCUGGGCUUGAACUCCUGGACUCAGACGAUCCUCCCGCCUCGGCCUCCCAAAGUGCUGGAAUUACAGAUGGAGAUGGGCUGCCAUGUUGUGAGCUGCCCCAUGGGGAAGAGGCUCACAUGUGAGGAACUGAGGGAGGCCUCCAGAAAACAGCCAGUGAAGAACUGAGACCCUCAGUCCAAUAGCCUAUGAGGAACUGAAUCCUGCUGACAACCAUAUGAAUGAGCUUGGAAGCAGAUCCUUCCCCAGUGAAGCCUUCAUGUGAGACUGCAGCCCACUUGACACUUUGAUUUGUAGCUUGUGACAGACCCCAAGCCAGAAGAGUCAGGUAAGCAGUGCCUGCACUCCUGACCCAUGGCAACUGGCAUGAUAAAUGUUUUUUCCCAUGAAGCUAUGUUUUAGAGUAAUUUGUUUUGCAGCAAUAGAUAACUAAUUCACUAGGUAAAGGUUAUAUCCAUUGUAAUCUUUCAACUUUUCUGUAGAUUUGCAGUUUUAUGUGCUGACAGGUGAACACACUGCUGUUGGCACCAUGGCCA
Molecule: long non-coding RNA, 859 nt
Filed under: Homo sapiens (human)
Lineage: Eukaryota; Metazoa; Chordata; Mammalia; Primates; Hominidae
Description: lncAB302.1
Source: RNAcentral